GGGUUUAGAACGUCGUGAGACAGUUCGGUCCCUAUCUUCCGUGGGUGUAGGAUACUUGAGAGGAGUUGCCCCUAGUACGAGAGGACCGGGGUGAACGAUCCACUGGUGGACCAGUUGUCAUGCCAAUGGCAGUGCUGGGUAGCUAUGAUCGGACAGGAUAACCGCUGAAGGCAUCUAAGCGGGAAGCCCCCCUCAAAACAAGGUAUCCCUGAGGACCGUGGUAGACCACCACGUCGAUAGGCCGGAGAUGUAAGCGCUGCAAAGCGUUCAGUUGACCGGUACUAAUUGUCCGAUAGGCUUGAUUUG
Molecule: non-coding RNA, 306 nt
Filed under: Jannaschia seosinensis
Lineage: Bacteria; Pseudomonadati; Pseudomonadota; Alphaproteobacteria; Rhodobacterales; Roseobacteraceae
Description: Bacterial large subunit ribosomal RNA
Rfam family: Bacterial large subunit ribosomal RNA
Source: Rfam by way of RNAcentral